This 1722-nucleotide ribosomal RNA is filed under the name Triticum aestivum (bread wheat). RNAcentral's name for it is "partial small subunit ribosomal RNA". Lineage: Eukaryota; Viridiplantae; Streptophyta; Magnoliopsida; Poales; Poaceae. The record is from RNAcentral.
AUGGCGUCCGACUCCGCCGCGACGGUCGACGGCAGCGCGCUGGCGGGGCGGGCGCUGGCGGCCGCCGGGGCGCGGCACAUGUUCGGGGUGGUGGGCAUCCCGGUGACCUCGCUGGCCUCCCGCGCCGCCGCCGCGGGCUGCCGCUUCCUCGCCUUCCGCAACGAGCAGUCCGCGGGGUACGCCGCCGCGGCCUACGGCUUCCUCACGGGCCGCCCCGGCCUGCUCCUCACCGUCUCCGGGCCCGGCUGCGUCCACGGCCUCGCCGGCCUCUCCCACGCCACCGCCAACGCCUGGCCGCUCCUCAUGGUCUCCGGCUCCUGCGACCAGCGAGACGCCGGCCGGGGCGACUUCCAGGAGCUCGACCAGAUCGCCGCCACCAAGCCCUUCGCCAAGCUCGCCGUCAAGGCCGCCGCCAUCGCCGACAUCCCCCGCCUCGUCUUCCAGGCCCUCGCCGCCACCGUCGCCGGCCGCCCCGGCGGCUGCUACCUCGACAUCCCCUCCGACGUCCUCCACCAAACCCUCGCCGAAUCUGAGGCGGCCUCCCUCAUAGCGGAGGCCGUGGCCGCGGCCGGUUCCGCCGAUCCGUCCCCGCCGAAACACAAGUCCCUGGACCAGGGCAUCGUGGAGGCGGCCGAGCUGCUCCGGCGCGCGGAGCGGCCGCUGGUUGUGGUCGGGAAGGGCGCGGCGUACGCCCGCGCCGAGGAGGCGAUCCAGAAGCUGGUGGACACCACCGGCAUCCCCUUCCUUCCCACUCCCAUGGGGAAGGGGGUCGUGCCGGAUGUGCACCCACUCUCCUCCACCGCCGCGCGUUCCCUCGCCAUUGGGCAGUGCGAUGUGGCGCUCGUCGUCGGCGCGAGGCUCAACUGGUUGCUUCACUUCGGUGAGCCUCCCAAGUGGUCCAAGGAUGUCAAGUUCAUACUUGUGGACGUUUCUGAAGAUGAAAUUGAGCUUCGGAAGCCCCAGGUCGGUCUGGUUGGGGAUGCAAAGAGAGUCGUUGAGCUCCUCAACAGGGAGAUCAAGGAUCAGCCAUUCUGCUUGGCGCGAUCGCACCCGUGGGUUGAUGCAAUCACCAAGAAGAGCAAGGAUAAUGUGCUUAAGAUGGAGGCACAGCUUGUGAAGGAUGUUGUGCCGUUCAAUUUCAUGACACCCAUGCGGAUCAUUCGUGAUGCGAUCCUUGCCGAGGGGAGCCCUGCUCCAAUAGUGGUCUCGGAAGGGGCCAAUACCAUGGAUGUUGGCAGGGCUGUGCUUGUGCAGAAUGAGCCAAGGACAAGACUGGAUGCAGGGACAUGGGGAACGAUGGGUGUUGGGUUGGGGUACUGUGUUGCAGCAGCAGUGGCUGAGCCAGAACGGCUCGUAGUUGCUGUGGAGGGCGACUCUGGAUUUGGUUUCAGUGCAAUGGAGGUUGAGACCUUGGUGAGGUACCAGCUGCCCGUUGUCGUCAUUGUGUUCAACAACAACGGUGUCUACGGUGGGGACAGAAGAGGCCCAGAUGAGUUAACAGGCCCCUACAAAGAUGACCCCGCGCCAACCUCCUUCGUUCCUGGGGCAGGUUACCACCAGAUGAUGGAAGCGUUCGGAGGAAAGGGUUAUCUCGUCGAGACACCGGACGAGCUAAGAUCUGCCCUCUCGGAGUCGUUCCGCGCCAGGAAACCGGCGGUGAUCAAUGUCACCAUUGACCCAUAUGCAGGGGCGGAGAGCGGCAGGAUGCAGCACAAGAACUGA